This 1206-nucleotide long non-coding RNA is filed under the name Apteryx haastii (Great spotted kiwi). RNAcentral's name for it is "lncRNA (ENSAHAG00000003035.1)". The record is from RNAcentral. Lineage: Eukaryota; Metazoa; Chordata; Aves; Apterygiformes; Apterygidae.
AUGAUAAGAGGUGGGGAGGUGAUAAGUGGUGGGGGCAUGAUAUGUCAGAACAGGGGAGUGAUAAGUGGCGUUGGGGGCAUGAUAUGUCAGAAGGGUGUGAGAAGGAGGGACAACACAGCAAGGCACAAGCAGUCCAAGAGGUUCCUGGAGAGCACCGAUGUUAACUUUCUGAUACAGGUGAUAGAGGAGCCAAUGAGGAGAGGCAUUCUGCUGGACCUCAUACUUACAAACAAGGAAGGGCUGGCUGGAGAUGUGGAGGUCAGGGGUGACCUUGGAUGGAGUGACCAUGAGAUGGUGGAGUUCAGGAUCCUGCAAGAAGGAAGCAGAGCAAAAAGUAGGAGCAAAAUCCUGGACUUCAGGAGAGCAAUCUUCGGCCUCUUCAGGGACCUGCUUGGAAGAAUCCCAUGGGAUAGGGCCCUAGAAGGAAGAGGGSUCCAAGAAAGCUGUUUAAUAUUCAAGGAUCACCUCCUCCAAGCUCAAGAACAGUGCAUCCCAAUGAGCAAGAAGUCGAGCAAAGGGAGCAGGAGAGCUGCAUGGAUGAACAAGGAGCUCCCGGCAAAACUCAAACAGAAGAAGGAAGUGUACAGAAGGUGGAAGCAGGGACAGGCCACUUGGGAGGAAUAUAGGCAUGUUGUCCGAGUAUGCAGAGAUGGGACUAGGAAGGCCAAGGCCCAUUUGGAGUUUAAUCUGGCAAGGGAUGGCAAAGACAACAAGAAGGGUUUCUUUAAAUACUUCAGGAACAAAAGGAAGGCUAGGGAGAGUGUGGGCCCACUACUGAAUGGGGCUGGAGCCCUGGUGACAAAGAAUACAGGAAAGACAGAGGUACUGAAAAGUGCCUUUGCUUCAGUCUUCACUGGUAAGACCAGCCCUCAGGAAUCCCAGGCCUCGGAGACCAGCGAUAACAUCUGGAGAAAGAAAGACUUUCCCUUGGUGGAGGCAGAUUGGGUUAGGGAUCGCUUAAGCAAACUUGACAUCCACAAGUCCAUUGGCCCUGAUGGGGGGUACCCACAAGUGCUGAGGGAGCUGGCCGAUGUCACUGCUAGGCCACUCUCAAUCACCUUUGAAAGGUCUUGGAGAUCGGGAGAGGUGCCUGAGGACUGGAAAAAAGCAAACGUCACUCCAGUCUUCAAAAAGGGCAAGAAGGAGGACCCAGGGAACUACAUGCCAGUCAGCCUUACCUCGAUCACUGGAAAGGUGAUGGAAUAG